CCUACGGGAGGCAGCAGUGGGGAAUAUUGCACAAUGGAGGGAACUCUGAUCCAGCGACGCCGCGUGAGUGAAGAAGUAAUUCGUUAUGUAAAGCUUUAUCAGCAGGGAAGAAAGUGACGGUACCUGAAACGAAGCUCCGGCUAAAAACGUGCCAGCCGCCGCGUGAAUACGUAGGGAGCAAGCGUUAUCUGGAUGUACUGGGUGUAAAGGGAGAGUAGGUUGCAGAGCAAGUCCGAAGUGAAAACCCAGGGCUCAACCAUGGGAAUGCUUUAGAAACUGCCCAGCUAGAGUGCAAGAGAGGCAAGUGGAAUUCUUGGUGUAGCGGUGAAAUGCGUAGAUAUUAGGAGGAACACCAGUGGCGAAGGCAGCAUGCUGGACUGUAACUGACGCUGAGGCUCGAAAGCGUGGGGAGCAAACAGGAUUAGAUACCCCAGUAGUC
RNAcentral lists this ribosomal RNA (439 nucleotides) under uncultured bacterium. Its description in RNAcentral is "partial 16S ribosomal RNA". It matches the Rfam family "Bacterial small subunit ribosomal RNA", at positions 338 to 795 of the family's 1533-position model. The record is from RNAcentral.